RNAcentral lists this ribosomal RNA (256 nucleotides) under uncultured bacterium. RNAcentral describes it as "partial 16S ribosomal RNA". It matches the Rfam family "Bacterial small subunit ribosomal RNA", at positions 524 to 777 of the family's 1533-position model. The record is from RNAcentral.
UACAGAGGUCCCGAGCGUUGUUCGGAUUCACUGGGCGUAAAGGGUGCGUAGGUGGCGAGGCAAGUCUGGUGUGAAAUCCCGGGGCUCAACCCCGGAACUGCACUGGAUACUGCCUUGCUUGAGCACUGGAGAGGGAACUGGAAUUUACGGUGUAGCAGUGAAAUGCGUAGAUAUCGUAAGGAAGACCAGUGGCGAAGGCGAGUUCCUGGACAGUUGCUGACACUGAGGCAGCGAAAGGCUAGGGGAGCAAACGGGG